Molecule: ribosomal RNA, 77 nt
Filed under: Geodermatophilus obscurus
Lineage: Bacteria; Bacillati; Actinomycetota; Actinomycetes; Geodermatophilales; Geodermatophilaceae
Description: 23S rRNA. Bacterial LSU
Source: RNAcentral
CGGGUUGAUAGGCCGGAAGUGGAAGCACCGCGAGGUGUGUGAGCUGACCGGUACUAACAGGCCGAGGGCUUGACCAC